Molecule: non-coding RNA, 4152 nt
Organism: Pelobates cultripes (western spadefoot toad)
Lineage: Eukaryota; Metazoa; Chordata; Amphibia; Anura; Pelobatidae
Source: the annotation of a GenBank genome assembly
CAUAUACAUAUGGGGAUAAUUCCCAAUAAAACUCUGUUCCUAAACUGGAACCUUGAUUUGAUAUUCAAAAUUAAUUACUUUAAUACUCGCGAAUAAUUCAAUACUCUUGGAUUAACACCUAAAACUAUAUAAAAUAUUACAAACAUGAACCAUCUGUGUAUUAGGCUGGGGUUGUUGGGUGUGGGUAUAGGUUGGAAGCUAUGGUUGGUAUUGAGGAAUCUGUGGGGGUGGGUUUGGGCACUCAUUUUUCCAGUGACCCUGCUAUCCACAAUUAGAACAGUGUGUUCCACCAAUGCUGAAGUUGUUACCUCUACAAAAGUUAGACCCUUUGACUAAAUCCUCUACCUCUGCCUUUAUUCCAUAUGCAGGAUGGGAUUACCUAACUCACAGCCCCCUCUUUGUGUACCACACAGAUAUAAUAUUAAUAAGCUUUUAAAGGCUGUAUGGAUAGUUAAAUUUUGUAUAUAAAGCAAGGUUGUCUAGGGGUAUAUACAUCAACAAUGAAAGCAUAGCCUUCAUAUAGGGCUUGCAAUACUGACAGUCUGUGUCAUGAGCGUAAUGCAGACAUGCGGUUAGGUACUUUUCCAUUAUUAUAAUAUAUUGAAAACACUAAGACCUUGCAAAUUUUUAAAACACAUAUUGCUACCUGUACCUGGUGCCAUGCAAGGAUGUAAUUGGGACAUAUUUCAAAUUGAGUAUCAAAAGUCUAACCACAAAACUAAAUGUUAUACGCUUAUCAAGAAAACAAGUUUAACCCGUUAGUGCAUACUUUGGAUAGCCUCUUUGCAUAAUUUGGCUCCUAGUGAGAUUAUUAUAUUAUUUAUUAAUGCUCUUCUGGAUCUGCAAAAUGCUUUCAAUUUACCCAUACAAAUAUAAUACAGUAGUUUAGGAGAUUAAAAUUACCUCACUUAUAAAUUUCAGAAAUUGUCUAAUCUCUAUUAAAAUACCAUUUUAUUAUUACCCCAUAAUCAAGGUGGCAUACUAGAUGAAUCUUACUUUGACACAAACAAUGCAAUAUACUUUAAAAGUAGAGUUAACUCUGAGCUGGACAAUACUCCCCUAUUAGAACUCCUUUAUGAGGGAGAGACAUCUUGUCCAUUCAAUCCUUUUUAUCAGUAAAAGAAUGACUUUCAGGAUUAAUCAGUUUGCAAAUGGAAAUGUGGAGCCACGAUUUGAACAGCAGAAGUUUGCGGGGCCCCUUUCACGUGGGAUGUAACAAGCGCUUUUCGUGCUCCAGAGCGAUAGCAUACAAUUGUUUCAUUCUAGCCGGCUGGACAGCAUUUCACCUUUUGUAAAAACACUAAAUGCUUGCGUUAAUGAUAUGCAAAUCACUCUGCUAGUUAAACUCCUACACAAUGGACAAUAAAAUACAUGAAACACAUAACACACCAAUUCAUUUCAAACCAUAUAACUCAUACUCAGCAUUCAAUGUAAUAUUACAUGUCAUCUCACAAAACAGACAUCUCACAAAACAGACGUAGUAGAUACACGUAUCGGGUACCCAGCAGAUAUGCCAAUAUAGAAAACACAUUCAUGAGCACACAACUACACACUCUGUGUCCCUCCUAGGAAACACGGGUAGACACAAUAUGAAAGCAGUCUUAAACUAACACCUCCAAAUCUCCAUUCCCAUAUAGCUAUAUCAGACCACAACACUCUCUGAGCUCAUAGAACUACUCCAACUAUUCUUGGCCAGAAUGCUAGUAUUCAACAGCUAAUAAAACCGUUAUUUGCUGGGUUAUUUGGCUGGCAUUUGUAUCAGUAUCACUAAACUGAGACAAACUGAUUCACAUAUAAUUUAAAACAACACAGCAACAUAUAAAUUAAACCACUUUCCAGGUAAGCUGCACACUUCACACAUUAUCACAAUCACCAUUUACACAGAAUAAACAGUUAACAGCUGUACUCAGAACAUAUUAUUGUAAGGUAUACCAAUUUUAGUUUAUAUUAGAUUUAUUUUAGGGAUUCUUAUGUAUACUUUUUUUUUUUUUUAAUUCUUAUUAACUUCAUUACUUUAAUCUACUAUAGUAUUGUAUAUAGAGAAAGGAUCCAUUUAUAUAGCGCACUCAUAACUCAAAUAUUUGUAUGAAACUUCCAUUAACUAAUCUGAAGUGAUGCUGCAUCAACUUAAAUCUUAUAGAAAUUGAGCAAACAUUUGGACCAGAUUACACAGACAUGGUUUCACCAGAAUCUUACAGAACUCUCAGAGACUUAAAAAAAAUUAUUCUAUACCAUGUUUAAAAGGCAUGGCAAACCUUAGACCGGUCAGUCUCCAAGAGCCUUAGUAAAACAGGUAGAAACCUUUGUCCAUAAUCUCUGAUCCAGGCUAUAUACCACAAUUUAAAAGAACAGAACACAUAUAAUGUGAGACAUAGAAGACACAAAACAUAUGCAGUAGCUGAAUCAUUUAAAGCAUCUGUAGCAAUAAAAAGGUUAGCUUACAGCACAAAAUGAAGCAUGUGUUGGACCGCUGAAAAUGUAAAUGUUGCUCUCUUAUUUACAAACAAAAAUCAUAUUAAUGGUAUGGAUCCUUUGCAACAAACACACAGGGCAGGGAAGAUGUGCUGAUUGGUGUUUCUAUACAAUUAAUCCCAUAUGGGGAAUUAACGUUCAAAUACUAAUGAAGUGACUUUUUGUCUCAGUUCUAAAAAUACUGAGCUCAUCAUGCAAACAAUGUAACACAUUUACACUAUCCCACUCUCAUAGAAAGUGUAGUGGGCUUAUGGUAUUAAAGUAACAAUCAUACCAGGCACACAGAUCCCAUGUGAAAUAACUUGCAAUAAAACAGAGUAAUAAACUUAUACUUCUAUGCGACAGAAAGAAUAAAGUAAAAAGAUUUAAGUAGGUCUAUCAGGUACAACCUGCGAGUCAGUUCUUGUCUAAUAUACAGUACUGCUAUCAUAUAUAUAUGUAUAUAUAUUGGUCACUCAGGACCAGAACUUACAUUUCCCAUACUGCUGACUCAGGGUGGACACACUACUAACUUACCAAAGUGUGUCCCCAAUAUAGACAAUCACCCAAUUGAUGGAGAAUCAUUGUUUGCAAUAAAGACAUGGACACUACAAAUGUGCUUUAACAAGAUUCUCAGUGAGUAUAUUUUCAGGGCUAGCAUAUAAAGCAAAAAGAGUUUAACUAUUUCAUAUCCUUACAGUCAGCACUAAUGAUUAUAAACCUUAUUUAAGCAUAAAAUACAUAUGAACAAGAAAAGUUAACUACUUCAUAUUCUUACAUGGUAAUUUCCCAUUCCUAGGACAAAUCUUUCAAACACUUAUUCACACUCAGAACCAGACUUAACUAAUGACAAUUAGAGGGUGGACAAGGUGAACCUGAAACUCUGUGCACACUAUCGUAGUAUAUUCACUUAUAUACUAAAUUCUCUGUCUAUAUCACUUUAUAGACUUCCUUUUAUCUGUCUAAUUCUCUUAUUAGACCUUCUCUAGUUCACUUACUAGAAAUACAUAUAUCUCUCUGUCUAGUUCCCUUACUAGACUAAUUUAACGGGACCUUAUGUAAAACUGAGUCACAGAAAACACAUAUACUAAAUAACCUUUCCUAAAAUGAUGUAGACUUACAAAACCAUGGGGAUCAUAGAUUCAGGGCGUCAAGAUAGACACAAGGAAUUACUACUCACCCAAAAUGGUUUUGGCUACAAUCCCACUUUCUGACACCAAGCUGAAAGGUAAAUCUGCUACUCUGGUGACUCGGUCCCUCUGGUCACUAUUCUCCAACCCUCGAUUGUCAGCUGAAUAUUCAGGGAAGAUUUUUAUGGAAGCGUAUUAACCAGACGCACACUCUUUGCUUUCCAUAAUCUUCUGACAAUGUAUUCAAAAUGCUCUGUAUUUAUACAAUAUUUGUCACGAAUAUUGGUUACAAAAGGUUACAAAAAGGUUACACAAGAUACAUAAAAGAGGAAGCAGUUUCUGCUGUUACAUUCAAUAAUCUAAUCUUACAAAAUAUUACAUAUACAUUGUGGUUAGGCAUUUCCUGAUACAUAGAAACUGUCAUAGCUUGUGACUUCCUUUCAGUUAUGUUUUGCAAGCAGUUCUGAAAUACUGACAGAUUAAUUGUUUAACCCCUUAAGGACCAGAUUUCUGGAAUAAAAGGGAAUCAUGACAUGUCAUGUGUCCUUAAGGGGUCAAUAUUCCUUCACUG